RNAcentral lists this long non-coding RNA (421 nucleotides) under Dicentrarchus labrax (European seabass). Its description in RNAcentral is "lncRNA (ENSDLAG00005033232.1)". Lineage: Eukaryota; Metazoa; Chordata; Actinopteri; Moronidae. The record is from RNAcentral.
UGUAUCCAUCUAAAAAUGACAUUUGCACUGGAGGACUUCUUCUCAUCCUGAAUGUCUAACAAUCUAUUUGUGUCAGUGUGAGUUGCUAAUGGACCCUUCCACAGUAUUUUUACCCUCUAAUAAACAACUACAGAGAGACUCUUGAAAGACAGAACUGUGAGCAGUCUACCAUCUGUGACUGAGGACACAUCUGUCAAGGAUUAUGUGCAGGAGAUAUGAGUAAAAACAGAAAGAGAGUCCUGCACAGCUGCAAGAGUGACUUUAUUCAGAGUGACACUGCGUGGUGAAGGAGUAGUGGAGGGCAGUGAUGAGGCUCCUCCGUGUCACCUAAGCUUCCUCAUGCCUUAUUAAGAAAUAAAACGCCUUUUCUGUCAUGUGUGAGCAUUCAGGAGACACAGUCUAUUUGUCAAGUUAAACAGAG